CGCCUGCCCUGUGACGAAAGUUUAACGGCCGCGGUAUUUUGACCGUGCGAAGGUAGCGCAAUCACUUGUCUUUUAAAUAGAGACCUGUAUGAAUGGCAUAACGAGGGCUAAGCUGUCUCCUUUCUCCAGUCAAUGAAAUUGAUCUGCCCGUGCAGAAGCGGGCAUGCCAACAUAAGACGAGAAGACCCUAUGGAGCUUCAGACACCAAAACAGAUUACGUCAAACCCCCACAACAAAGCGGGGCCAAACUAAGUACCCCCUGUUUUAAUGUCUUUGGUUGGGGCGACCGCGGAGCAACAAAAAUCCCCCGUGCGGAAAGGGACACAUCCCUAAAGCAAGAGCCACAGCUCUAACAAACAGAAUAUCUGACCAUAAAGAUCCGGCAGCGCCGAUCAACGGACCGAGUUACCCUAGGGAUAACAGCGCAAUCCCCUUCUAGAGCCCAUAUCGCCAAGGGGGUUUACGACCUCGAUGUUGGAUCAGGACUUCCUAAUGGUGCAGCCGCUAUUA
RNAcentral lists this ribosomal RNA (510 nucleotides) under Amblyeleotris sp. SOK-2013. RNAcentral's name for it is "partial 16S ribosomal RNA". It matches the Rfam family "Bacterial large subunit ribosomal RNA", at positions 1856 to 2567 of the family's 2925-position model. Lineage: Eukaryota; Metazoa; Chordata; Actinopteri; Gobiiformes; Gobiidae. The record is from RNAcentral.